This 253-nucleotide ribosomal RNA is filed under the name uncultured bacterium. Its description in RNAcentral is "partial 16S ribosomal RNA". It matches the Rfam family "Bacterial small subunit ribosomal RNA", at positions 524 to 776 of the family's 1533-position model. The record is from RNAcentral.
UACAGAGGGUGCGAGCGUUAAUCGGAAUUACUGGGCGUAAAGGGCGUGUAGGUGGUUAGAUAAGAUCGAUGUGAAAUCCCUGGUCUUAACCUAGGAACUGCAUUGAAGACUGUCUAGCUAGAGUAUUGUAGAGGGCAGUGGAAUUUCCGGUGUAGCGGUGAAAUGCGUAGAGAUCGGAAGGAACACCAGUGGCGAAGGCGGCUGCCUGGACAAAUACUGACACUGAGGCGCGAGAGCGUGGGGAGCAAACAGG